GAUGAAGAACGUAGCAAAGUGCGAUAACUAGUGUGAAUUGCAUAUUCAGUGAAUCAUCGAGUCUUUGAACGCAACUUGCGCUCAAUGGUAUUCCAUUGAGCACGCCUGUUUCAGUAUCAAAAACACCCCACAUUCAUAAUUUUGUUGUGAAUGGAAAUGAGAGUUUCGGCUUUAUUGCUGAAUUCUUUAAAAUUAUUAGGCCUGAACUAUUGUUCUUUCUGCCUGAACAUUUUUUUAAUAUAAAGGAAUGCUCUAGUAAAAAGACUAUCUCUGGGGCCUCCCAAAUAAAUCAUUCUUAAAUUUGAUCUGAAAUCAGGCGGGAUUACCCGCUGAACUUAAGCAUAUCAAAAGCGGAGGA
RNAcentral lists this unclassified non-coding RNA (358 nucleotides) under soil metagenome. RNAcentral describes it as "partial contains 5.8S ribosomal RNA, internal transcribed spacer 2, and large subunit ribosomal RNA". The stretch from base 1 to 119 matches the Rfam family "5.8S ribosomal RNA", at positions 35 to 154 of the family's 154-position model. The record is from RNAcentral.